CCUACGGGAGGCUGCAGUAGGGAAUCUUCCACAAUGGGCGAAAGCCUGAUGCAGCAACGCCGCGUGGGUUAAGAAGGUCUUCGGAUCGUAAAACCCUUUUGUUAGAGAAGAAAGUGCGUGAGAGUAACUGUUCACGUUUCGACGGCAUCUAACCAGAAGGCCCCGUCUAACUACGUGCGAGCAGCCGCGGUAAUACGGAGGUGGCAAUCGUUAUCCGGGUUUAUUGGGCGUAAAGGGAGCGCAGGCGGUAUUUUAAGCCUGAUGUGAAAACCUUCGGCUUAACCGGAGUAGUGCAUUGGAAACUGGGAGACUUGAGUGUAGAAGAGGAGAGUGGAACUCCAGGUGUAGCGGUGAAAUGCGUAGAGAUAUGGAAGAACACCAGUGGCGAAGGCGGCUCUCUGGUCUGUAACUGACGCUGAGGUGCGAAAGCGUGGGGAGCAAACAGGAUUAGAUACCCGGGUAGUC
This 465-nucleotide ribosomal RNA is filed under the name uncultured bacterium. Its description in RNAcentral is "partial 16S ribosomal RNA". It matches the Rfam family "Bacterial small subunit ribosomal RNA", at positions 338 to 795 of the family's 1533-position model. The record is from RNAcentral.